Long non-coding RNA from Phragmites australis (common reed), 2051 nucleotides. RefSeq lists it as uncharacterized. The transcript is spliced from 2 exons. The record is from RefSeq and is a predicted model, not a curated record. Lineage: Eukaryota; Viridiplantae; Streptophyta; Magnoliopsida; Poales; Poaceae.
UCGGAUUUUGACCAUAAUAAGUAGAAUUCAUGUAAACAGUGCUUUUGACAAGCGAUUUAAAUCUAAAAAGGGAGAAAUAUUUUUUAUUUGCCUCAUCAAACUGUGAAUAUCAAGUGAAUGCCAUCUAAAUAUGUAACAUGUGUGUUUAUUAUGUAAUUGGUUGAACAUUUUUUUCAGCUUCGUAGAACUACCAUGCUGCCAGAUAGAUCAAUAAUUGUUUUUUCCAAUUGACACCCCCUAUAUUAAAUUUUACUUGCGUAGUGUUAAUUGUAGGUAAAAUCUAAAUUUCAAGUGUGCAUGCUUUUGUCAUGCGGCAUACAUGCUCGAUCAAUCGCCUGCUGGAUAUCCAACCACCCUCACGCGUUCACACAACGUUUUAAUACUAUUCAUAUUCAUAUGAUGUUAGGCUAGCAUCCUUCUCUCCUUAUCCGUUUCUCACCCACACACACUGAUGUUUUCUCUCUCCUUACCUGUUCCUUCUCAUUUCCUCUAUGUUCCCCUCUCCAUUGGAAUCUGAAGGUAGAAGGGCACGCGCUCUGCAGCGUUGGAAGCGGUAAGCACUGGGUCUGCAGCGAUGUAGCCCUUGGGAUGUCCAGAUCUGGUGGAGUGGAGCUCAAUCCGGGGAGAAGAGGGGCUCAAUCUAGUUGAGACAUGACAUGACUCGAUUUGCAUAUGAAGGAGUUCGAUCUGGCGCAUGUCCAAGGUGAGGACGUUGAUUUGGGCAAGGAUGGAGCUCAAGCUAUUGCAGCUUCAAGGGGAGGAGCUCGAUUAUGACGGAGGAGCUCAUCCGGUGCGCAAAACAACUCAACUUUGGCUACCAUGGUUUGAUUAGGCCACCAUGCAAAACAACUCAGCUUUGUGCGGUGAGCAACUCGAUCUAGCGAUGUCGCAGGUGAGCUUGUGAGCAGCGAUGGCCAUGCAAGAAGGUGAGUGCAUUGGUUGGAUUUAACUUUGUAACCAUGUCCAAAUCAUUUUGAUAUUUAAAUAAUUUUGAUCGUGCUUUCGUGUAUGUUUUAUUUGAUCUAGUGCAUGCUGGAGGAUCCACUAAUCCCAAGUCUCUUGCUCCCUUCUCGGCUCCCUAUCGAGUUGCUUUUACAUUUUGUACUAAGUUGCCUAUGUAUCGUGUCAACAUUGUCUAAGAAAAUAAAUCAUAUUGUUUUUCUCAAACAGAUCUACCAAUUUACCUGUACAUGGCUUCAAAUUUGCCUAGCAAAAUACAUCAAACUGCUUUUCCAUUUUGUCUUGCAGCUGUCCUAAUUGUGCUUCUGAGAAUUAAGUUGUGCUACAUGCAAACCUUAUGUUAAUUUGGUUUUUUUUUUCAAUCUUAAACAUGAGCUCUACUGUUUUAUCUUGAAACAAUUUUUUAUUUGAUUUGCUUUUAUGAUCUCUGGAUUCAUGGUAGUUUGCUUGCAUAUGGGUUCUAACUUGCUUCUAUUCCAUUCUGAUUUGCUUACUAAUUUGUCACACCCGGUUUUAAGAUCAAAUAUAAUGUAAAUUAUAUAUAUACUAUGAUCAAAUUUCAUAUAUAUAGUGACGUCAUAAAUGAAUAACAGAAACAUAUCCUUAACUUAAAUGUACCUUCGAUCUUAAAAAAGGACCAGCGAGAGUCAAACAACAAAGACACUACAGCGGAACCAAGCGUAGCCUUCAUCUUCAACUGGGCAACUCUACAGGCACAACAAUGGGCGAUAAGGCUGAAAUUUCGUGCGUGGAAAACACAUGGGCCCAGUGUUGCCACGCGCUUCGCGUGUACUGAACAGGCAUGCAGGUUGGCUAGAAAAAGUGGCCUCUUAAUCGAGUGCUUUUUCUAAUCAGGAUGCGAAUGCAGACAGAUUAAUGCAUGCACGACUGUGUAUUAGUCGGCUCCAUUAAUUGUAUCAAUCAAACUUGGUGUUUUAGCUUACUUCGUAUGUCGAACCUCAAUCGAUUAUGCCGUUUUGAAAGGUCAGUGACAUUGAAACAAAUUGGAUCCUUCGAUACGAGCGGAAUUAUUGUACUUACACAGUCUUAUGCUUGCACAAUCAAUUUAGAAUGUUCUUAUUUACAGAAAA